Molecule: long non-coding RNA, 307 nt
Organism: Vicia villosa (hairy vetch)
Lineage: Eukaryota; Viridiplantae; Streptophyta; Magnoliopsida; Fabales; Fabaceae
Exons: 3
Source: RefSeq, a predicted model, not a curated record
CUCAUUCAAGAAGUUGCUUUCUACUAUACAGGGGUUACUUGUGAAGAGUGAAAGUUUGAUCUCAUUCAAGAAUCUUACAUUGUGUGGGUCUACAAGUUGCUUACUACUAUACAGGGGUUACUUGUGAAGAGUGAAAGUUUGACCGUUUUUGUUUAGCUUAAUUAAGUCAUGGAUAAGACAUGGAUGAGAUCAAACCGAUUGUCGAAAGAGUACGAGAAAGGGGUAUGGAAAUUCGUUGAGUUUGCGGUUGCGCACUCCGAAGACCCGCUUCGAAUGCCGUGUCCUUAAUUUUAGAUUGCUCCUAUAA